Mauremys reevesii (Reeves's turtle) is the source of this 631-nucleotide long non-coding RNA. RefSeq lists it as uncharacterized. NCBI's taxonomy places the organism in Eukaryota, Metazoa, Chordata, Testudines, Geoemydidae. The record is from RefSeq and is a predicted model, not a curated record. The transcript has 3 exons.
GGCUGGUGGGGGGGGAGGGUGGCGAUCAGAUGAGGAGCCAGGACCGGGGGACUGGGACUGGCUGGGCAAGGAGUAGAACUGAGAUGGGAAACUGGAAGAGUGAACACAGGCACUGGCUAGAACAGGGUUCGAAUAACAUGCAGUGAAUAAGCCAUGGAGCCACGCACUGAACAACGAGAAGAAAACAGAACAUUGAAUAGCUGCUUGUUAUACUCCUGGGGGAAUUCUGCACCACUGCACAUGCGCAGAAUUUAUGUCCCUGCAGAUUUUUUUGCUUCCCGGCAGAAAAAUGACUUUCUGAUGGGGAAGCAAAGGGAAGCCACAAGAACAGUCACGCAACCCUCUCCAGCAGUAUGUUUCGAGUGCCCAGGGCAGCCGGCAGAGAGUCAUGAAGGCUUUGAAGAUGGGAUAAAGACACUAUUGAGUCAGGAUAGCACUUGAUCCUUCUCCUGUUGAGGAAACUUCCCUUGACUUCACUGGAAGAAUGAUAAGAAGGAACCAGUACAGAGCACUUCCACACCAGGGUGUGAUGGGCAGAUACUAGCCAAACACUAUGAAAGUGCUUUGGAUCAAGACACUGCCCUGUGAUAUAACUGGGGCAUCAUACACAGCAACUGGGAAACUGAAAAGA